GAAGAAAUUAUGAUCCAAUUAUAACUCACUAUAUCAUGUUUAUGUAAAUUAGUAUGUAAAUGUAGCAAAAUCGCACUCUUUUUUUUCCUCUAUAUUAUGUAUUAUUGAAUGGGUUGUGCUACAUGUAAAGAAUGGUUUACAUAAACAUGAUGUUGUGAGAUAUAAUUAAUUCAUAAUUUCUUUAACCCAAAAAAAGUAAAUAAAUAAAUAAAUUCUCCACUCUCUUUUUGACACCUUAUUAGUAUGUAAGUUCAGCCUCAAUUUGGGGUUCAUUCACCUCUACAGGUUCAAGAACAAGUUUAGUUUGCUGAUGAACAAGAUUAUUAUUAUCAUCUUCAGGUUCACGUUCUUCAAGUUCAGCCUCAAUUUGGGUUUCAUUCACCUCUACAGGUCCUGAGUAGAUUUAGUUUGCUGAUGAACAGGAUUAUUACUCAGGUUGAGGUAAGUCAAAUUUAGCUAACUUCAUCUCACUUUGAACUGUCCUGUCAUUUUCAAAUUUAUUUAUCUUAUUAAAUUCUUGUUUUAGACAUGACAUUUCAAAUUCAUUGAAGACUAUAUGUCUACUAUUGAUGAUCUUAAUGCCUGGGACACCAAAAACCCAUAACAUGUAUUUUUUCACACUUUCUAGGUAACCGAGUGAUAAGUGUAUUUUAUACACUUAUUUGGGACUCUAAAAUAACGAUAUUUGAUAGUCCUUUGACAAAAUACAUUCUAAAUUGUUGUCUUUUACGUUUAACAGGUGAAAAUCUACGAUUGAAAAGGAAGUGAAGGAGAGAAGCAAAAACGAGCGAAAAUAACAAAAUCCAAAGUACGUGGAUUAAAUUGGCCAUUGGAUGCAAUUUUUGGGAAUCAAAGUCUAACUAUAAAAAUUGGACUGAUUUGCAUCGCUUUGAAAAUUGAGUACUUAGAGAAAAAUAAUCUACUAAGUGGGCUCAAUUAGACUUGCUUUGAAAUUCAAAUUGAAGAUUUACUAGGACGUUGGACCUCUAAUUGGACUAGAAGAGGUGCUAGGUUGCAUUGCAUCAUAGGAUUCAUAUAUAUACACACAGAAAAUCCAAAGAGCCGGGGGGAGCAGCCUGGGAAAUAAUAUACAUUGGCGGCUACAAGAAUUAGGGAGACAGAGAAAAAAACAAGAGGCUGGUCGGCAUCUUUGGGAGGAGAAUUCUGCCAUUAAAGAUAUAAACACUAGUGCCGACUACUGGGGGAAAGAGUGGAGAAAAAUUUGUGCUUUACUGGAGUGAGAAACACGCACAUAAAACGAAGGAAGAGGGGAUAGAUACAAGUUGCUGGCGGCAAGGAAGAAUUGGAGAAGAAAGAAGCAGCCAAUUAAUACUUAGACUCACGCACAAAGAAAACGUCACCAGCUAGGAGGAACAAUAAUUAUAUACACGCAGUUGCAAUAUUAUAUAUUUACACAAACAUUGGGCGGUGACGUGAAGGAUUGUUCGGCACAAACACGGAAGUAGAUAUAUACACAUACGCCUACAGAUUCAUAAGGGUUGUUGCCGGCUGGUUUCAUUAAAAAAUUAUACACACGGGAAGACACUUUGGCAGAAAACAUAAAACACAUACACGCAUAGCAAAGGCCAGAUUUGGAGAUUGAAUUGAAGGUUGUUUUUGGAGGGUUGCUUUUGGCUGAAAUAUAACACAUUGGCAUGAACUUUUUGGAAAGAAAAAGAUACAAAAAGGAGGCAACCCAUUGAAAUAAAAAGAGAGAGACGGAGAUUUACUUUGGAAAUUAUUCACGUUUCGUCAAUUUCUCGGUGAUGUCCUUCCAAUUUUAUGUGUUUAAUUUCAACAUCAUGUCAGGCUAAUUUUUCUCAUGUAUUGGAUGACGAUAAAACUCGUUAUUAUUUAUUUUUAAUUCAAGACAUGUGGUUUAAUUAAAUUCUUGCAAUUGUUGAUUAAUCUUGCAUGCAUGCUUUUAUUAUUUGAUUGCCUGAUCAUCAAUUAAAUAUAUAGUUGCUU
This 1968-nucleotide long non-coding RNA is filed under the name Olea europaea subsp. europaea. The record is from RNAcentral. Lineage: Eukaryota; Viridiplantae; Streptophyta; Magnoliopsida; Lamiales; Oleaceae.